CGCUGGCGGCGUGCCUAACACAUGCAAGUCGAACGGAGUUUAACGCUGAUGAAGCUUCGGCAGAUUCUUGUUAAACUUAGUGGCGGACGGGUGAGUAACGCGUGGGUAACCUGCCUCAUACAGGGGGAUAGCAGUUGGAAACGACUGAUAACACCGCAUAAGCGCACAGGAUCGCAUGAUCUGGUGUGAAAAUAUUUAUAGGUAUGAGAUGGACCCGCGUCUGAUUAGCUAGUUGGUGAGGUAACGGCCCACCGUGGCGACGAUCGGUAGGGGUUCUGAGAGGAAGGUCCCCCACACUGGAACUGAGACACGGUCCAGACUCC
RNAcentral lists this ribosomal RNA (323 nucleotides) under uncultured Butyrivibrio sp. Its description in RNAcentral is "bacterial SSU rRNA". It matches the Rfam family "Bacterial small subunit ribosomal RNA", at positions 34 to 339 of the family's 1533-position model. Lineage: Bacteria; Bacillati; Bacillota; Clostridia; Lachnospirales; Lachnospiraceae. The record is from RNAcentral.